This is an RNA transcript of Arachis duranensis, 2167 nucleotides long. It is a transcript of the gene named F-box/kelch-repeat protein At3g23880-like, with no coding region annotated. Lineage: Eukaryota; Viridiplantae; Streptophyta; Magnoliopsida; Fabales; Fabaceae. The record is from RefSeq and is a predicted model, not a curated record. The transcript is spliced from 5 exons.
UCAACCCUCGUCUUCCACUCUCCUCUGCCAUCCUCCGGAGUCCAGACUGAAGCAGCCGCGAAGGAGCCUCUCUCCCCCUUAUCCCCUCCUUCUCCCUCUCCCUUUCUCGUACCCGCUCUCUCUCCAUCGUCUCCCACGCAGUGAAACAGCAGUAGUAGUGCAGCACGCACCAUCGCCCUCCGUGAAGCACAGCGUAGCGCAGUCCAGCCGCCGUGUCUUCCGUCACACAGUUCUUCUAGCCUCGUCGCCUCCGUCGCAGCAUCUCCCUCUGUCGCAGCAUCUCUGUCGUCCUCUGUAAUGGAGCCUAAGCCUCAGGAAAGGAGAAGGUGAAAGAGGAAGAAUGUGGAAUUAGUGCACAACAUGAAAAUUUCAGUCUCUUGCCUUUUUUUUUUUUGCUUCUUGAUUUUUCUGAGUGAGAAACGGCGUUAAUAAUCUCCAGAUUAAUAGACACACGGGAAUGCAGAUGGAGCCUGAAGACCCAACAGCGGCGGUCCUCUUGUGUGAAGUGGUGGUGAUGGAGAUCCUCUCUUGGCUUCCUGCAAAGCCUCUGACGCGCCUGAAGCUUGUGUGCAAGUCAUGGAACUCCAUCAUCUCCAACCCUCACUUCGUCAAACUUCACCUUCACCGUUCACCCAAAAAUAGCAUCCUCCUCCUUACGCGAACAAAACCGCUCACCCUCGGCGAAGGAAAAAACUGGGACUUAGUGUUUAGUAGCGUUGAAUCCUUCAUCCAGAAUCCAUCAUCCACUCUUGUUGCUCAAGAGAAUCGCUACUCCCUAUACGUAGAAGACUGGGUUGUGGGUUCAUGCAACGGGUUGGUUUGUGUGGCCCAUGCUCUUGACCACCCCAAGACCGAUAUUAGUGAUAUCUGGGUGCGUUUAUUGAACCCUCUCACAGGGGGUAUUUCAGAGAACUCGCCGUGCUUACGUGUCAAUAUGCACAAUGUUCUUGGAUUUGGGUAUGAUGAGUCAAGUGAUAGUUACAAGGUACUGGCUAUCAUUUGGGAUUCUUCUGGAACAUUGAUUACGCAAGUUUAUAGCUUUGGUGGCAGUUCAUGGAAGAGGAUCAAAAGUUUUCCUGCUUUUCCGUUUUCUCCUGAAGUUAAUGGCUACUUCAUCGGUGGCACUCUUAAUUGGAUAGCUCUCCGUACCCCGCAUGAAGGUGAUUAUGAUUGGGAUGCUGUUACACUUGAUAUGUUAACGCUUGUUUCUUUUGACCUGAAAUCGGAUACAAGUAAAGAGAUUCCGCUUCCAAAGGGUAUCGAUGAGAUCCCCAGUGAAGAGCCAACUCUGGGAGUUUGGGGAAAUAGCCUGUAUCUUCUUCAUGAUUACCAGAACACUCAUUUUAUUGCAUGGCAAAUGAAGGAGUUUGGAGAUGAAAAUUCUUGGACUCAAUUGCUAAAGAUUAGUUUUCACCAUCUCGGUGUUGAAUGGCUAUCUCCACGAUUUGUAUUUGAGAAUGGAAAUGUCUUCAUGUUGAGCGGCUGCCAUAGUUCUGAGGAAGUUUUUUAUGACCGAAGAGAUAAUAGUGUUAAACGCGUUAAAUUCUCGUCCAACCCUCGUUACAUCGUUGCAUUUGAUUAUGUUGAGAGCCUGGUUCAGCUUUGUUAAAAUUUGGUUCCUAUUCAAAGUUUUGCUUCUUUAGCAUUUUGUUCUGUCAGCAAAGUUCAGGUCAUUGUGAUUAUUUUGGGUGAUUCCUUACUUUGGCUACUUCUUGUUGUUGGAUCCAAAUUUGUAGACGGAUCACUUUUAUUUUGGCUGCAAACUUUAUACAUACAGGGUCUGGAAAAUGUGACACCAAUGAUUACAAAGAUAGACCAGAAGAGUGCAAUAGAGCUUGAAUCAUAUGGCUUGGGUACAAGAAUGGUAAUUCCUACUAGUAGUAGUUAUAGUGAUUAGAUCUUAGCAUGUUGCAACCGUAAUGUUGAGAACUUUAGAUGAUACAAUAUUUGUAGCAUGUUAUUGCAAGCAUAGGAAUGUAAGCAGUGAAGAUUAAGAACCAAAAUUUUAUAGAACUAGAAGCAGUUAUUAGGUGAUAUAUAUGUGUGGUAAUUCCUUUGCCAAUGUUAUUAGUUCCUUUAAAAUAUUUACUUGUUUUCAUGAUUUCCAUGGGUGCUAUCACAUCUUAUGGUCAACUAGACAUUUUAUGACAAUAUCUUGUUAUAUUGA